Molecule: ribosomal RNA, 449 nt
Filed under: uncultured bacterium
Lineage: Bacteria
Description: partial 16S ribosomal RNA
Rfam family: Bacterial small subunit ribosomal RNA
Source: RNAcentral
CCUACGGGUGGCUGCAGUGGGGAAUAUUGGACAAUGGGCGCAAGCCUGAUCCAGCAAUGCCGCGUGUGUGAAGAAGGCCUGCGGGUUGUAAAGCACUUUGAGUGGGGAAGAAGGCCUGGGGGUUAAUAGCUUCUGGGAUUGACGUUACCCACAGAACAAGCACCGGCUAACUCCGUGCCAGCAGCCGCGGUAAUACGGAGGGUGCGAGCGUUCGUCGGAAUUGCUGGGCGGGUAGAAUGAGUCGGCGGUGAAAGCCCUGGGCUUAACCUGGGAACUGCAUUGGAUACUGUUUGACUGGAGUGUGGUAGAGGGGUGUGGAAUUUCCGGUGUAGCAGUGAAAUGCGUAGAGAUCGGAAGGAACACCAGUGGCGAAGGCGGCACCCUGGACCGACACUGACGCUGAGGUGCGAAAGCGUGGGGAGCAAACAGGAUUAGAUACCCCGGUAGUC